Platichthys flesus (European flounder) is the source of this 395-nucleotide long non-coding RNA. RefSeq lists it as uncharacterized. The record is from RefSeq and is a predicted model, not a curated record. The transcript is spliced from 3 exons. Lineage: Eukaryota; Metazoa; Chordata; Actinopteri; Pleuronectiformes; Pleuronectidae.
AUUGCUGAUUGUUUCCUCGCAGUCGCUUAAGUGACCGAGGGAGGACAUACUGCUCUUCGAGGAGCUUUCUGUUCCGGACUCACUCUUCUGUUCUUUCUUCUGCCAUCUGAACCACUUCUUUGGCAAGGACAGUGAUUUUUUUAUCUAAAAACAAACAGGCAUCAUAUUGACAUACAAGUUUGCAGGUCCUCGGAGCAGCACUGCUGUCUGGCGUAGAUUUCUUGGGUGGGGUGGGGCUCCUUGCCCUCUGCGCUGGCUGGGGAGUCUUGGACUGUCUGCCUGCAGCUGCGGUCGAGCUCCCAUCGACAUCGUCCGUAUCCAGGCAUCUCCUUCGCAGCUUGGUCCUGCCCUGAAUGCACUUUGGCCAUGAUGGAAGUGAACUCCCUGUUCUUCAC